CCGGGCCACCGGCUCCGCUCCCCGGCAGAGGCGCCGCCCGCGCUCUCCUCGCCCCGCGGCGAGCGGGACCCGCCGCGUUCGUGAACAGCGCGGGCGCCGCCUCCCGCGGAGGGAGCCGGGCAGCGGGGCCGGAGCGCGGUGCACACGGCCGGCAGGAGGCGACCCCGGGCUCGGAGCGCAGCUGCCAUGGGCCCCCGCGGGAGGGCGCGCGGUGGCGGGGGCACCCGCUGCCUCAGGGCAUCUCCCGGAGUCCUGGAAUGGUUUGGGUCAGAAGGAACCAUCCAGUUCUCACCUCUUCACCGUGGGAGGCAGCGUUAGGGACACCUGCAUGGCUCACGUUGCUCAAAGCCGCAUCCAGCCUGCCCUUGAGCUCCUCCAGGGCUGGGGCAUCCAUGACUUCUCUGAGCAACCGGUGCUAGUGCCUCACCACCCUCCCGGGUUUGGAAUGCUGUAAGGAAAGGUUCAAUUUAGAUCUCACGAGUGGAGUUCUUCCCUGGAGAAGACAAAAUAUCAAUAUUAAAUUAGUGAGCUGUCAGACCAUAGAAGACUUCUAUGACACUGUUGACCAAGAUGAUAACACUAAUGAAGAUUUGUUCUGAUGUCUGUGUCUUCUAAGCAGUGAAUGCUGGGAGCAGCAGUUAGAGGUGAUAUUGUCUGUGACUGUCCAGGCAGGAUCUUUAGAACUCCUGACUGGAUGCAUUAAACAUUGGACAUCUGAAAAGCAGCCAAAUUCUGUAGUGAAGUUACAGUUUAUUCAUAACUGUGCGUGGAAGAAAGUGGUCUACACCAAAGAUGAAUUUGACCAUAUAUGUGUUCCGCUGUUUGAUGGCUCCUGCCGCUUCCUUGAUCCAAAAACGCUACAGUCCCUUCAGCACUGCCAGUGUCUCUUAAACAACCUGGGCAGAGUCUUAAACUGUUUACAAAGAGAACAACAAGAGCUUACUGACAAAGGUUUG
This is a long non-coding RNA of Cuculus canorus (common cuckoo), 956 nucleotides long. RefSeq lists it as uncharacterized. The record is from RefSeq and is a predicted model, not a curated record. The transcript is spliced from 5 exons. Lineage: Eukaryota; Metazoa; Chordata; Aves; Cuculiformes; Cuculidae.